Long non-coding RNA from Felis catus (domestic cat), 5623 nucleotides. RefSeq lists it as uncharacterized. The transcript has 4 exons. NCBI's taxonomy places the organism in Eukaryota, Metazoa, Chordata, Mammalia, Carnivora, Felidae. The record is from RefSeq and is a predicted model, not a curated record.
CAAGUGGGUUUUUUUUUUUUUAAAGUUUAUUUCAUUUAUGGGUUUUAAAGAGUUUUCUUGACCAACAGGACCUGCUUGCCACCAUAUCCUCACCUCCAUCCCUAACCCAUGCAGCCUCAGGAUCGUGAGCAUCCAGGGAAGGGCCUAGAGUGCACACAAGUGUUCCCUGAGUGUGGCAGGGGGUUGUUUGGGACUGGGCAGAGGUGACCCAGUAUGUAGAAACACCUACUGGGUCCUGUGCCUGGAGGCACAAGUUGGCUUCACUGGGAGUCAGGCAGCGCCCUAGGGUCAUGGAAAUGAACCUCAGGGUAGAGUCCAAGGCCAUGUGGGACAGGGAGGCCCCCUGAGCUGUGGGCACCAUAGCUCUACACAUUUGGUUUCUCCCCUGUCCUCUCACCUGUUUUUGGUAACUGCUUAAUUAAUGUUUGUUGCUAGUCUGUCUCACACCUUUCUCUUCCUUGGUGGUGUUCUCACCCAUUUGGGGCUAAAGGGUGCACCGAGCGUGUGCCAUACCAAGCCUCCCUGGUAGGUCUGGCCCUGCACGUGCUUUGCCCGUCCUUCCUUCACAAGGAAGGUGCCCUAACUUUCUUGCGCACCUGUUGUAACCUGCCCUCUCCCAGCCCUUCUCCGAGGCAGGAGGCUUGGCCCACCCAACCCCACCACCCUGUCAGUAUCCCCAUUUCACACACGAGGGAACAGACCCUCAGAGAGGUGAAGGUCAGAGCAGAAUUUGAAUCCAGACAUUCUAGCCCUUCUGCUGCCAGGACUGCAUGUUGGAGGUAGCCGAGAUUUGGGGUCAGGAGUAAGAACUCUGUAGGAUAGAAUAACGUCAAGAGUCUACAUCACUUGGUUGUUGUGGGUGUUGGUUCUUCUGUGGGGAGGGUUUAAGAUGUCCCACCUGGGGGGAGGAAGGACUGUGUGCGUAAGGGGAGGAGGAAGGGAAUCGGCAGAGCAGGGGCAUGAAGGCUCAGGUCCUUUGGGGCUAGGCUUGCUGCUUUGCCCUCCAGCUUUAAGGGUACUGGGCUGGGGCUGGGUUUUCCUGCAGACGGGGCUUUGAGCUGUGGCUCUGAGCCAACACAUGCCCCACCCCCCAGCCCCUGUAUGCGGUCCCUGUGGGGGCUCUGGUAGUGUUGGCCACCUAGACACAAAGCAGACUUGACAUGGGUCCCCACAAGAGCCUGUGCUCUGGGGCAGGAUAGCUGUCCCCACUGCCAGCCCAGUACAGCUAGACAUAGAGUCCCACUGUGGCCAGGGAGUGCGCAAGCCUCUGUCAUGAGUUCUUUGUUCACAGUCCAUGCUUCCUAGAAUACAGUGUCAAAAAGGUAGCUUCGAGGAUGAAGAAUGACAAAUCCAGGAAGAAAAAAUGGAGUAUUUGUGGGAUUCUACCCACAAAAGACAUUGGUAUGCUUGAGGUUAGAGUCCAACUUGAAGCAGGACAUCACGGCCGCCUCACUAAGCUGCCAGCUGUUUCCUCCAGUGCCUGACACAUGCGGCUUUCACUUGGCUCCUAUCCCCCACUGCCAGCCCUCCCCUGCUGGAGUUUGUGAAUUUCAAGGUCAGCUGAAAGUCAAACUUUACCAUGUUGGUGAUGAAAUGCAAGCAGAUGUGGCUGGUUUGGCUGAUGGCGGCCACACCCUGAGAACCGUGCUCAGUCCUGUGGGUGAUGCCUGGCAAAAUUAACAAAGUCUGAUCGCUUACAACCCUGGGUUUCCAUCUCAAGAGAUUCAGAUUUCAAACCUCGUGCAGAGAAGUGACGUAUAGAAAGUGCCCUUUAAAUUGAGGAGUUGUCCAAAACGGGGCUGGCUUUCAAAGCACAUUUUUGGAUCAGAAAUCCCGGAAUAAGAAAAUUCUGAACGCAGAACAAAGCACAAGAGCCUGCCACAACAGCACAUGGUGGCUUGCCUGGUCUAUUUACUCUGCAGAGGUGGGACCCCCCCCCCCUGGGGUUCACAGACACAACUGAUCACACAUGGCACCCCAGGGGCUCGGCAACGUGCAGCACCCACAGGACCUACUGACUGCCCCCUGUCCCGCUGACCACCUGCUAGUGUGGCUUGUGUGCUAGGAGAAGUACGUCCAAGAUGGAACAGCAAGGACACACCCAGGAGCAGGUUCCAGACCUUCCUGCCCCACUGCUUCCCUACCACUCUGGGCUGGCUGGAGCAAGACUGGCCGGCUAGCCUGGGUUCUGGAGCACAAGCCUUUUCCUCACUCUGUUUGCCGAGCCUCCCCAAGCUUUGGCAGCUCAUUAUUUCUCCACUGGCGGGUGAGUGGGAGAGGCCGCGCCAAAGGGACGGCCAAUUACCAGGGCCUCGCCGCCACGCACCGCCUUGGAUGCGUUUUCUCAAAUGGCGAAGCCCUCUUCGGGGAGAGGCAAUUUGUGGGGAGCUCAGGGCAGCAUAAUUUAUGGGCCCCCUCUCUCCUGGUUAGGAAAGAGGUGGCUGUGGCUUAAUUUAAUUAGCUGGGUUCGGCUGAGCACAUGACCAGGAUGGGCCUGGAAUCCUGGUAAACGAGGCACACUUCUUUUGUGAGUAAAGCACAGCCGAAGAAGAAAAGGUCUAAAGUUACUUGAUUCAUUAGGAUCCUUGGGUUAGAGUUGUCUUCCAGUUUGAAAUAUAAAGCCACUUAUUUUUCUUAACAAGAAUCCAGCCCACCAGCUACGGUGUUCUGCUCAUGCAUUUAAUAGGAAUAAUUGCAUGGAGCUCAAAUUAUCAUAACCUAAUGCUCUUCAUGGUAGAUCCAGCCUCGUCACAUUUUUCCCACAGGGAAACGAGUGUGUUCUGUAGGGCGGGGAGAAGCCGCCAGCUCAUUCGCCCGGUCGUUCACAGCCUGCCUCUGCUCUGCCCUGCCUUGUUGGUUGAGUUUCUGGGGGUGCAGGCCACCAGGCUGGGAGCAUUGAGGGGGCUUCUAGAAGAAGGGGCCAGGGUAGCAGUUGCUCUCUAUAGGUGAUCCAUAGCUCUCAGCUCGGCCUAGCUCUCUAAUUUCAAAGGAAGGUCACAGUAAGAGAAAGCUAGGUUUGUAAGGGAUCAUGAAGUCCUGAUAUUUCUGGUGGCAGUAGCAAUCAUAAUGACUGGGCAUAAUGUCAGGGCAGUGCCCUUAUUUUAUAGUUCAGGGAACUCGGGUGCUGAGAGGCUAUAAGAAAGGCUGGUCAUGACAGACCCUGGCCCCGGGUUUUCGGAUGUCCCAGAGCACGGAGGGGAGGUGCCAGCGAUCUUAGACACAGAUCCCUUGAGCAGAUAGGAUGCACAGACUGGGGAGAGGGCCGUGAGAUCUCUGUCACCAGCCACUUGAUCUUAGGUAAGGCUCUCUCAGCCUCAGUUUCCAGACCUGCGAAAUGGGGAUCCCAACACCUGCCCUGAAUCCCUCCCAGGGUUGGCUCAUGAUGCCCGUGAGAGAAAGAAUCCAGGUGCGAGGGCUCAGCAAAGUGCUGCCAGGUUGGUUGAAUCAUCACAGCCAGAGUGCUAUCACCUGCAGAAGGAGAAGCUUCCUGGCUCAAGCCAGGCAUCCCUCUGAGCUCAAAAUGACCAGCGUGGCCAGGAUUGCCAGAACUCGGGCUGGGCUGCUGCCUGUGGGGGGCCUGGAUUUGAGUCCUGGGGCUUCCCCAGGUAUGGCCUUUGUGCGCAUCUUGCACGGCGAGCCGAGGGUGCUGUGUUUCUGAGCUGUCCCUGCAGGCCACAGAGGCAGGCCCCCCGGUGAACCACUUGUGGGAGGAGCAGGGGCAUGUGAACGGAGGACCACUGCAUGUCCAUUUUGCAGCCAGUGUGGGCCACACAGGAACUGGAGAGGGGCCUUGUCUAUGUAAGUCCUCCAUUACCCCGCUUCUUGUGUUUCUUUCUUUGUGGAGCCCCAGGUAAAGUCACCGGGAAACCCAGGCUGGGUUCUGCCACGGGGGCUGGGGCAGAUGGUGGCAGGGGCCAGUCACGCCGUGAACACUGCGAUCCUCACCAGGCCAGACUCAGAGGCUCAGGGCAUUUGCCUUCUACCCUCACGGAAGCUGUGCGGCUUCUUUAUCAGGAGAUACAAGUGUUGCAGAGGCCAUGGUGAUCCCUUUCCCCCGAGAGCACUGCUUGUUAUCCUUCGGUUACUUCGCAAAGCAAACGGUGCCUUCGUCUUCAAUCGCAAAUGGUGUUGUCGACUACUUCAAAAAAGCAGAGUGAAUAUUAUUCCAAUAUUUAUCUUAGCACAAAACUAACAUUUCAAAGCCUGUGCCCAUAAUUCAAAUGUUGAUGGGGAACACAUUGUGUGGAUGUGGUGCAAAUAUAUACAAGGGGGAAGUUGCUUAUAUUUAAUAGGGAAACAAGAAGUAAACAUUUUUGAAUAAAAAUGGCAAAGCCUUGGGUUCUACGAGUUGCAGUUUUUCAGUUGAACAUAAUUAACUGGCACCUCUUAGGAGCUGUCAUGUGGUCUGAGGGUUCAGCAGGGUUGAAGUCAAGUUCUUAUUAGCAAGCAAGGAUGCCUCUCAGAACCGGGGCCCAGGAUUUCGUGUUCCUGGCCUUACUGGGCUGAUCUAGAAGCUGGCGUGUGGCUGGGAAGUUCACUGCCGCUGCUUUGUCUCUCCCCAUGUUUGCUUCACGCAAAUGCUCGAGCGUGCCAGGAGCCCUUAUAAAGGCGCAUGGGAAGGGGAGAGCGGCCCCUUCUUGGGGGCGGUUGUCUUGUGGCUGCUUUGUAAGAGUACCCCCUCAUGCUGAAGGCUGACCUGCCCUGUAGCAUCCCCUGUGUGGAAGAGAGAGGUGUGGGCCCCUGUGGUCUUGCUCUAAGAAUUCUUGAGCAACGGGAACCACGGCUGUUUCUGGCAUCUUACAUCAUGUGAGAAGGGCUUGCAGGCCUCUGUAAACGCUCGGGUGCCUGUCUGUACAAAUGUGGGGCCUUGACACUGGCAGGCUCCGUUUUUGUUACUGAAUCAGGGUGUGGGCACUCGCACUUCCUUCUGGAAUCCUCCAGCCUGUGUGUCUGACUGGGGAAGCAGCUGUGAAGGUGGCAUCUGCAUAGCCCUGGCCCCAUCCUGCUGCGACAAUUCGCCAGGUGAUAGGUUUGUGGAAGUGGAGGGGCUCUGUAUUGCUGCACUCUGGUUCCUGGGGCAUUAGUUUCAGUCCUGAAUGGGCUUUUCCUGCAAGGAGACAGCCACGUGACUUCUCCAAGUCAAGCAAGGACACUUCGGAUUUGUCCUCAUGGCUCUGUUCGCCAUCAUUGUCUUGUUUUCCAAAGUUGAAUUGGUGCUUUUUUGGGGGGGGCGGGGCUUCCUUAGAUGGCAGGACCAUAUAAAUCCUCAUGCCGCACUUAGCAAGGACACCCAGAAGUUCAUGGGUGUGAGGGGGCACCUGGAAUCAUUCUGGACCACUUCGGCAGAUGCUGCUGGGCAAGGCUGUGUGCUCAGAGCCGUGUGAUGUGCUGGAAGGGGAUGGCAGAGAGGGAGGUGUGGCUCUCACCACGUGAGGAGGACAGAAGUUAGGAUUUUACACAGGAGAUUUGGAGGCCAUUUGUUUGAGGGGCUCUUCUCUGGAAACUAGAAGUAAUAAUAAUUAAAUUGAAAAUUAAAAAAUGAUAAAGCUGGGGUGCCCGGGUGGCUCAGUUGGUUGAGCGUCUGACUCUUGAUCUUAGCUCUGGUUGUAAUCCCAGGAUUGAG